UGGAGUCAUGAAAUUUUCCAACUUGAGUGAGACUUCAUGAUAGGUUUUCACUACAUUCACACUAAAACCUAAAAGCUAAGGAAGAUAAAAUUCUAUGAAAACAAAAUUCUUCUCUAUAUUCAUUAACGACAUUGGUACUCAAAUAGGAUUUGUAAAGAGCCGCUGGAUUUUAUCCUUGUAAGCAACAUUACAUUAAAACUGAAAGCAAUUAAAUUAAACAAUCCUAUAGGCCCAUUCAAAUUAAGAAGUCUUCCAUCCAUCUAGGUUUAUUAAUCUGACGUUUGGACUUGUUGUUGUUAGAUCAUGGUGUAACAUUACCGUUGGUUUAGGCACUUUGUUCUCAAAGUGAGUGUGAUGAACUUGUUGGGCUGAUUGGUUGGGCUUGGCUGUAAUUGGAAUUUGUUGAGGCUUCUUCUUCCUGCACCCCCACGUUUUUCUUCCUACACCCCACAAUUUUAAAAAUUCCAACAUUACCCUUGACCUAAAAUUUGAAAAGGGCACUGUUCUGCAUUUCCAUAAUCACUGAUCAUUUUUAUCCUUGGGUAUCAACUGCAAUGUCAAAUUUAAAUAAAGUUUACUACAAAACACUACAAAACCUAGUAUAAUUGUUUACCCAAACACUAAAUAAAGUUUAAAUAUAAUACCAAGCAAAACACUACAAAACCUUGACCCAGUAUAAUUGUUGUUUACUAAUUUGAGUAACACAAACACAAACAGCAACUCAUUAUUCCGGACACAUCAAUCCGCUACAAUACCGGAUCCAUAAAUUUGGAAGCUUACCGGAUCCAUAAAUUUGGAAGCUUACUGGAUCCCGAAAUCUGGAACAUUCCCAGAAUCAGAAGUUCAGGAUUUUACCGGAUUCAUAAGUUCAGAAUGUGAAAAAAUGAUUACAGAAACAUAAAUCCAUGGAAAAAAUGGAUAUGUAAAUCCGAAAAACAAAGAAAUUUACUUACCACUUUGUGAAGAGCACUCUAAAUCACCAAAAAAGAAUGUGUGAGAUUGAAAGAAGAAUGUUGUGGAGGUGCCGCUGCUAUGUUGUUGUGGGAGAGGAAGAAAAACGCUGCGCAAAUGAGAAAAUCAAUGCUGCCUUCAUU
This 1094-nucleotide long non-coding RNA is filed under the name Phaseolus vulgaris (common bean). Its description in RNAcentral is "long non-coding RNA (PVUL_LNC005129)". The record is from RNAcentral. Lineage: Eukaryota; Viridiplantae; Streptophyta; Magnoliopsida; Fabales; Fabaceae.